RNAcentral lists this transfer RNA (76 nucleotides) under Chitinimonas viridis. RNAcentral describes it as "tRNA-Trp". It matches the Rfam family "tRNA". Rfam says of the family: Transfer RNA (tRNA) molecules are approximately 80 nucleotides in length. RNAcentral also lists the same sequence under 2 other names. The record is from RNAcentral. Lineage: Bacteria; Pseudomonadati; Pseudomonadota; Betaproteobacteria; Neisseriales; Chitinibacteraceae.
GGCUCAGUAGCGCAAUUGGCAGCGCAGCGGAUUCCAAAUCCGAAGGUUGGAGGUUCGAUUCCUUCCUGGGUCGCCA